This 484-nucleotide ribosomal RNA is filed under the name uncultured bacterium. Its description in RNAcentral is "partial 16S ribosomal RNA". It matches the Rfam family "Bacterial small subunit ribosomal RNA", at positions 30 to 507 of the family's 1533-position model. The record is from RNAcentral.
AUUGAACGCUGGCGGAAUGCUUUACACAUGCAAGUCGAGCGGCAGCACGGGGGUAACCCUGGUGGCGAGCGGCGAACGGGUGAGUAAUACAUCGGAACAUGCCCAGUCGUGGGGGAUAACACUUCGAAAGAAGUGCUAAUACCGCAUACGUCCUGAGGGAGAAAGCGGGGGAUCGCAAGACCUCGCGCGAUUGGAGUGGCCGAUGUCAGAUUAGCUAGUUGGUGGGGUAAAGGCCUACCAAGGCAACGAUCUGUAGCUGGUCUGAGAGGAUGAUCAGCCACACUGGGACUGAGACACGGCCCAGACUCCUACGGGAGGCAGCAGUGGGGAAUUUUGGACAAUGGGGGCAACCCUGAUCCAGCCAUUCCGCGUGAGUGAAGAAGGCCUUCGGGUUGUAAAGCUCUUUCGGCAGGAACGAAACGGUGAGCUCUAACAUAGCUUGCUAAUGACGGUACCUGAAGAAGAAGCAACGGCUAACUACGUG